GACGAACGCUGGCGGCGUGCUUAACACAUGCAAGUCGAACGGGAUUUUGAGAAGCUUGCUUCUUGAGAUUCAGUGGCAAACGGGUGAGUAACGCGUAAACAACCUGCCUUCAGGAUGGGGACAACAGACGGAAACGACUGCUAAUACCGAAUACAUUCCUGGUUCCGCAUGGGAUAAGGACGAAAGGAUGGCCUCUCGAAGAAGCUAUCGCCUGACGAGGGGUUUGCGUCUGAUUAGGCAGUUGGCGGGGUAACGGCCCACCAAACCAACGAUCAGUAGCCGGUCUGAGAGGAUGAACGGCCACACUGGAACUGAGACACGGUCCAGACUCCUACGGGAGGCAGCAGUGGGGAAUCUUCCACAAUGGGCGAAAGCCUGAUGGAGCAACGCCGCGUGAGUGAUGAAGGCCUUCGGGUUGUAAAGCUCUGUUAUUCGGGACGAAAGAGCGCAUGGCUAAUAUCCAUGCAAAGUGACGGUACCGAAAGAGAAAGCCACGGCUAACUACGUGCCAGCCGCCGCAGUAA
This 524-nucleotide ribosomal RNA is filed under the name uncultured bacterium. RNAcentral's name for it is "partial 16S ribosomal RNA". It matches the Rfam family "Bacterial small subunit ribosomal RNA", at positions 28 to 523 of the family's 1533-position model. The record is from RNAcentral.